RNAcentral lists this unclassified non-coding RNA (162 nucleotides) under uncultured Tremellales. Its description in RNAcentral is "sequence contains ITS2". Lineage: Eukaryota; Fungi; Basidiomycota; Tremellomycetes; Tremellales. The record is from RNAcentral.
AACCUCACACUCUAGAGUUUUCUCUCUAGAGACGUGGAUUUGGGUGUUGCAAAUUCUGCUCACCUUGAAAGCCUUAGCUGGUUCCAACCGCAGCCUGAUGUAAUAAGUUUCAUCUGGUCAAGGGGAAGACUGCUUCUAAUCGCCCUCUGGGCAAUAUUUAAG